AGGUCAAGCGCGAGAGUAAGAACUACUCAAGGAGUCACAGUACUUAGCAAAACUUUGCUAUCAGGUGGGCAAUUUCUUACGCGUAAAUAAAAUGCUAUGCAUGUGUUAUGCUUUAAAUGCAAAUUGGAUCUUCAAGUAUGGUAUGCUUUAUUACGCUUAAAUGAGUUAAGCUUUAUUAUGCUGCACGUUAAAUGAUUUACGCUAUGCUGUUUAUACUAUUUACGCCCUAUGUAAUUUACGCUUGAUUACACUUAUUUACGCUUGAAUGCUUUACGCUGAUAAGUUUAUGCUUAUGUUUGAUGCUUGCGUCUGUUGGGGGAGCCUCCCUCAACAGUACGAUGCCCGUGUCCGCUGAGGAGGGCCUUCCUCACGGCGCGAUGCCCGUGUCCGCUGAGAGAGGCCUCUCUCGCGGCGCGAUGCCAGUAUGCCAGUGUUACAGCGUCUAUUGGGGGAGGCCUCCCUCAAUAGUACGAUGCCGUGACCGCUGAGGGAGGCCCCCUUCACGGCGCGAUGCCUGUGUUCGUUGGGGAAGGCCUUCUCCACGACACGAUGCGUGUUUAUGAUUGUUAAUGAUGAAGAAUGCGCUCAUGCUAUUUAUGAAUUUGGAAAUGUUUAAUGAGCAAAGGAUUUGAAAGAAACUUAUGCCUCUUAUGCGAUGUUGUGAAAUUGUUAAUGAUGUUAUGUUAUAUGCUUGGCAACUGCCCACUAAGUACUCUUGUACUUAGCCCUUCGAUGUUUAUGUUUGUGCAGGUUGAGCUGUGAUGGGCGAUGAAGUGUUGUUGCUGAGUGGAGUUUUUGUCGAACUUAAAGUAGGCUCAGAAAGGAUACAUGUCUUCAUACAUGUAUCUCAGUUAUGCAUUCCGCUGUAAACACUGAUUAUUUCAGUUACGCCUUCCGUUGCAAACUCUGAUAAUGUUUUAGCCAAGCCC
This 929-nucleotide long non-coding RNA is filed under the name Salvia miltiorrhiza (redroot sage). RNAcentral describes it as "long non-coding RNA (SMIL_LNC000805)". Lineage: Eukaryota; Viridiplantae; Streptophyta; Magnoliopsida; Lamiales; Lamiaceae. The record is from RNAcentral.